GCAUUUCGAGGCCCAGAGUGGGACAUAACACCGGGGAGUUUUUUGAAACUUAUUGAACUUCGAAUUGAAGACACCGAUUUGGUGCGAUGGAGACCUCAACGUGGAAGCUUCCCGGAGCUUCGUAGACUAAGCAUGAAGCAUUGCUACAAAUUACAGCAUCUCGAUUGGCCAUAUGACCACUCUUUGAUAGAGAUCAUUGAAUUAGUCGAGUGCAAUCCUUUAGUUGUCGCUUGUGCGAAGGAAUUAGAAGCCAAAUUUCCCUUUCAACUUAUCGUCAAAUCUUCUUUUGAGCUCAAGUGAUUCUGCAACUUGCCUUACACGUUAGUCUUUCUACUUUGCAAUAUCAAGUCUUAAUGUUUUGUUACAGUCACAGUGUUUGAGAUUGUCCAUCUACCGAUUUUCAGGCAAAUGAGAGAGCCGAUCGAAGGGGUCAGACACCGCGUUAUCCCAUAAUUUCGAUUCAUGUUGCAUUACCACAUAUUGUCGUAUGUAUUUAAGGAUUGUGAUUUGUAUUGGAUUUUGUUGAUGAUUAUGAAACCUGAGUGCUGAAUUGUGUUUGUAACCAAACUUGUUUUAAGCUGGAUUUGUGUGAAAACAUUAGUCCCUCCAGGAGGUUCGAGAAGUCUCUAAGAGGCCGCGAUGUUGAACAAUGGAUGAGCCGUCGCCGCUUACCUAAAGAUCUUCGAAGGUUCUAAAUUCUUUCUCUUUCUUUCUGAUGAUCAUUGUUGAUUAUCUGUAUGAGCGUUGUCUUCUUCGAAUAACUUGAAAAAUUGCCGAAAAAUUGUGACUCGGGCUAUUAAGUGAACAACGGAGAAGUAAUGAACAUCUUAUCUUUAACAGCUCCGAAUUUUUCAACUUUCAUGCCAAUAUACUAUUUAAUUUGUGGCUUCAUAUUUCAAAUUUAUGAGAUCCCUGAGUAGAAACUCAUCAAUAUGAACAUUAAUUUGUUGAGAUGAAGUCCCUGUUGUGUAUUUGGAUGAGCUUUUUCCAAUAGUCUUAUUGUCAUUUCCAUUUUUGAGAACCUUUGUUGUUGUUGUUGUCGUCGUCUUCUUUUUGUUAUUUUUAUUUCUUUUAAGGUUUAGUUUACAUUUUCUUUAAAAUUUAAAAGUUGUUUGCUGAAGAUCAUGCCUCUUAAACUUGACAAAGCCAAAAAAAGAAUUGGGGCUGAUGACUACAGAAAAGCCAUGAUUUGUAUGAACAAAAUCAUUAUGCUAAUUAAGUUAUUUCUUCUCCAUUGUAAAUAUAUAACUGUAGGAGUUGUGAGGUUCAAAAUGUUGUUGAUUUAGCAAUGAAGUUAAUCUGAUUAAGAGCUCUUGUUGCCAAAGAAGAAAAGAAUUGAUUAAUUAUCAUUCACAAAAUUUCUGAAGCAGUUAUCAAUUAACAUAGACCAAUUGCCUCCUCAAAAACAUAGACAAAUUGGGCUUAGCAUGCAUCUUGCAAUAAGCUGUACUAUUAGGCUCGUUAGCUUGUGAACAUGUUCGUGUGUAGCAUUGUGAGCUCGGUUGCAAGGACACAUCAUAUAUAUAUCGCUACUCAUUUCCUCCUUUGUGUUGUAGGUACGAAUCGCCUUACUGGCGAGCAAUUGCAGCUAGGGAUGGCAAUGGGCCGGAUCUGGACCGGAUCCUGUUUGGUCCAGAUCUAGAUCCAUGUUUUUUAACUUAGAUCCACAUUCGGUCCAGAUCCAUUGGAUCAAAAAAAUGGGAUCCAGACCCAGAUCCAUUAGAUUCACAGGGUCUCGGGUCCAGACCCAGAUCCAUAUUAUUUUCUUUUCUAAAAUAAUUGUGACUAAAAUUAACAUUUCGAAUAAGCAAUACUUAAAUAUAUUUCCUACAUCAAAUUACAUUUAACUAUCUUCUAAUUGUCAAUUGUAAGAUCAGCUUGUUUACUUCCAUGAUUACUAGUUUACUACUCUUUCCUCCCCAUGCCAGGAUAGGUUUACUCCAGCCACAUGUGCUAAAUUGCAUAAACAUGUUUCGUGCCUAGUUUCACUUGCUAUUAGAACUAUCAAUUUAUUUGUAUGUAUAUAUAUAUAUUGUGUUUUCAUGAAAUAAAUACAUUUUACUUAUCAAAAACAUAAACAAGAAAAGAAAAAAAAUAUAAAAAUGAGCUUAAAAAAAUAUAAAAAUGAGCUUAGGGUUGGAGAAUUAAAAAUAUUACAUAUUAUUAAAAAUAAAAAUAUUAUAUAUUUAAAUAUAACCGGGUCCAUGGACCGGAUCUGGGUUUUAUAUCAACUACUCCAUAUCCGGAUCCGAUUUUUUAAAGAGUGGUCCAGAUCCGGUCCAGAUCCGCUGUGUCCAAAUUUUGCAAGGUCCAAAUCCAGAAAAAAGGGUCUGGAUCCGCGGAUCUGGACCGGGUCUCGGAUCCAUUGCCAUCCCUAAUUGCAGCUAGACCGAUCCAGAUUCCAAGAUAUAUAUAUAGAGGGUGUUCACCUAAGUUUAUUUUAAAGAGCUUAUAAGCUCUUGAAACUUAUAAGAUGUUUUAAAAGCUUAUAAAUUAACAUUUAAAGCAAAGUUGAUUCGGAGCAGCUGUGAUAAUUUUCAACGUGCUUGAAGACUUCAUCAACUGGUUGAUUGCUGAAUCUUCAUAAUUAGAAUCUUCGGUUGCUUUGUUUCUCGCUACUAUUCUUCCACACAAUUGCCUUCAAAAUCAGCAAUAGAUCGAUUUUAGCAUUACAUUAUACACAUCUUUUCAAAUCAUUUACUAAAGUUCUUGAAUGUGGCUUUGAAUGUGUCUGAAAUUGUAUCAAAAGCGCGCAGCUGCCGCCGCCGUCGAGAGGUAAGCAGAGAACUGAGAUCUAUCAUUUGUUUCGUCUGCGUUUGCUUAUUAUAUAUAAUUCCUUCUUCUUCUUCUUCUCCGUUUCUUUCUCUUUUGAUAGGCCCAGAGUGGGACAUAACACCGGGGAGUUUUUUGAAACUUAUUGAACUUCAAAUUCAAGACACCGAUUUGGUGCGAUGGAGACCUCAACGUGGAAGCUUCCCGGAGCUUCGUAGACUAAGCAUGAAGCAUUGCUACAAAUUACAACAGCUCGAUUGGCCGUAUGACCACGCUUGGAUAGAGAUCAUUAAUUUACACCAGUGCAAUCCUUUAGCUGUCGCUUGUGCCAAG
RNAcentral lists this long non-coding RNA (3105 nucleotides) under Salvia miltiorrhiza (redroot sage). RNAcentral's name for it is "long non-coding RNA (SMIL_LNC010924)". Lineage: Eukaryota; Viridiplantae; Streptophyta; Magnoliopsida; Lamiales; Lamiaceae. The record is from RNAcentral.